Non-coding RNA from Nicotiana tabacum (common tobacco), 1105 nucleotides. The record is from RefSeq and is a predicted model, not a curated record. Lineage: Eukaryota; Viridiplantae; Streptophyta; Magnoliopsida; Solanales; Solanaceae.
GAAGGUUGCAAAUCGAGCCAUUGUUGUACGGGAUGCAUACAGGUUUCAUCAUUUUGCAAAUGGUGACUGUUCCUGCAAUGAUUUUUGGUAAUUGGAGCUAUUGAGGGCCCGCAGUGUGGUGAAGAGGGUUUUAGGUUCUAGAAUUUGGAGAUGGCAUAUUAAACUGCCAGUAUUUUUGAGAUUGAUGCUCUGGACACCUGACCAAUACCUCUCUGGAUACCUUCCCAAUAGAGAUGAACCUUGCAAGCAUUUGAAGUGCUAUCAAGAUAAAAACACUAGCAAGUCUCACAUAGCUUUCAAGCUUCCAGGACAGUCUAGUGGUAAGAGUGCAGUACGUGAUGUGUGUGUGGGUUAGGCUCACGUCAAGGGUUCGAAUCCACUGCAGAUAAAGGUUGGUGUUUAAGUGGAGAAGGGUAGAGAGGUGGAUUGAUUAUCCACCAAGUUUCGAACACCCCACGCCCCACGGGGUAUUUUCUCGGUUAUCAAAAAAAUGUCUCAAGUAGCUUUCAAGUGCAUUAGUGCCAAACAACUGGACCAAAAAGCUGUUUCAUGCAUCCUCGCGGAGCGAUUUAUCCGUAAUGAUAGCUGCUGUAAUCAAAUGGCAGAGCAUCCAGAGAAUAAUGAAAACAGAAGGAUCGGAAGGGUAAGCUGAGCUGAUGUGGAAAAUGAGAUUGCUUGUCCUGCUCGAGCCAUUAAGGUGGGAGCUGAGGGAGGAGUGGCUCCUUACUCUGGGACCCCUUGGCUCUACUUAUUGGUCCGUAGAGGAUGGACACUUAAUUCCCAGAAUAAGAAGUAGGUCCCUUAUUUUUGGGCUGAAAGAGUUCGAGCCUUUAGUUUGUUUAAGUAGGUUUGGGCUAAGGUCAUCGUGCUCUUGCCACCUCUUGGCAAAGUAUGUUGACGGGCAAGCCCCCUCCUGUUGCAAUAGUGUGAUCCGUCAGAGGCAAUUCAACAUCAUGAGCCUCAGGGUGAAAGGACCAAUUGAUAAUUUACCUGAGCUGGUUAGUAGAUUAUGUUGCCAUUGUUUGGUACCUUCAGUGUGUAAUUUUUUAUUUAUUUAUGACGGUGGUGUUUGGGCCAAUUUCCACCAAGUUAUGUGAGGCCUUGA